AUACCUGGCGGCGGCCUAACCAUGCAAGUCCAGCGGUAGAGAGAAGCUUGCUUCUCUUGAGAGCGGCGGACGGGUGAGUAAUGCCUAGGAAUCUGCCUGGUAGUGGGGGAUAACGCUCGGAAACGGACGCUAAUACCGCAUACGUCCUACGGGAGAAAGCAGGGGACCUUCGGGCCUUGCGCUAUCGGAUGAGCCUAGGUCGGAUUAGCUAGUUGGUGAGGUAAUGGCUCACCAAGGCGACGAUCCGUAACUGGUCUGAGAGGAUGAUCAGUCACACUGGAACUGAGACACGGUCCAGACUCCUACGGGAGGCAGCAGUGGGGAAUAUUGGACAAUGGGCGAAAGCCUGAUCCAGCCAUGCCGCGUGUGUGAAGAAGGUCUUCGGAUUGUAAAGCACUUUAAGUUGGGAGGAAGGGCAUUAACCUAAUACGUUAGUGUUUUGACGUUACCGACAGAAUAAGCACCGGCUAACUCUGUGCCAGCAGCCGCGGUAAU
Molecule: ribosomal RNA, 495 nt
Filed under: uncultured bacterium
Lineage: Bacteria
Description: bacterial SSU rRNA
Rfam family: Bacterial small subunit ribosomal RNA
Source: RNAcentral